AUUGAACGCUGGCGGCAGGCCUAACACAUGCAAGUCGAACGGUAACAGGAAGAAGCUUGCUUCUUUGCUGACGAGCGGCGGACGGGUGAGGAAUGUCUGGGAAACUGCCUGAUGGAGGGGGAUAACUACUGGAAACGGUAGCUAAUACCGCAUAACGUCGCAAGACCAAAGAGGGGGACCUUCGGGCCUCUUGCCAUCGGAUGUGCCCAGAUGGGAUUAGCUAGUAGGUGGGGUAACGGCUCACCUAGGCGACGAUCCCUAGCUGGUCUGAGAGGAUGACCAGCCACACUGGAACUGAGACACGGUCCAGACUCCUACGGGAGGCAGCAGUGGGGAAUAUUGCACAAUGGGCGCAAGCCUGAUGCAGCCAUGCCGCGUGUAUGAAGAAGGCCUUCGGGUUGUAAAGUACUUUCAGCGGGGAGGAAGGGAGUAAAGUUAAUACCUUUGCUCAUUGACGUUACCCGCAGAAGAAGCACCGGCUAACUCCGUG
This 490-nucleotide ribosomal RNA is filed under the name uncultured bacterium. Its description in RNAcentral is "partial 16S ribosomal RNA". It matches the Rfam family "Bacterial small subunit ribosomal RNA", at positions 30 to 507 of the family's 1533-position model. The record is from RNAcentral.